Molecule: ribosomal RNA, 460 nt
Filed under: uncultured bacterium
Lineage: Bacteria
Description: partial 16S ribosomal RNA
Rfam family: Bacterial small subunit ribosomal RNA
Source: RNAcentral
CCUACGGGUGGCAGCAGUGAGGAAUAUUGGUCAAUGGGCGGGAGCCUGAACCAGCCAAGUAGCGUGAGGGAUGACUGCCCUACGGGUUGUAAACCUCUUUUAUAAAGGAAUAAAGUGAGGCACGUGUGCAUUUUUGUAUGUACUGUAUGAAUAAGGAUCGGCUAACUCCGUGCCAGCAGCCGCGGUAAUACGGAGGAUCCGAGCGUUAUCCGGAUUUAUUGGGUUUAAAGGGAGCGUAGAUGGGUUGUUAAGUCAGUUGUGAAAUUUUGCGGCUCAACCGUCAAAUUGCAGUUGAUACUGGACGUCUUGAGUACAGUUGAGGUAGGCGGAAUUCGUGGUGUAGCGGUGAAAUGCUUAGAUAUCACGAAGAACUCCGAUUGCGAAGGCAGCUUACUAAACUGCCACUGACAUUGAUGCUCGAAAGUGUGGGUAUCAAACAGGAUUAGAUACCCUAGUAGUC